This 259-nucleotide ribosomal RNA is filed under the name uncultured bacterium. RNAcentral describes it as "partial 16S ribosomal RNA". It matches the Rfam family "Bacterial small subunit ribosomal RNA", at positions 96 to 354 of the family's 1533-position model. The record is from RNAcentral.
CGGCGGACGGGUGAGUAACGCGUGGGUAACCUGCCUCAUACGAGGGGGAUAACAGUUAGAAAUGACUGCUAAUACCGCAUAAGCACACAGAACCGCAUGGUUCGGGGUGAAAAGCCGAGACGGUAUGAGAUGGACCCGCGUCUGAUUAGCUAGUUGGAGGGGUAACGGCCCACCAAGGCAACGAUCAGUAGCCGACCUGAGAGGGUGACCGGCCACAUUGGGACUGAGACACGGCCCAAACUCCUACGGAAGGCAGCAG